GACGAACGCUGGCGGCGUGCUUAACACAUGCAAGUCGAACGGAAAGGCCCUGCUUUUGUGGGGUGCUCGAGUGGCGAACGGGUGAGUAACACGUGAGUAACCUGCCCUUGACUUUGGGAUAACUUCAGGAAACUGUGGCUAAUACCGGAUAGGAGCUCCUGCUUCAUGGUGGGGGUUGGAAAGUUUCGGCGGUUGGGGAUGGACUCGCGGCUUAUCAGCUUGUUGGUGGGGUAGUGGCUUACCAAGGCUUUGACGGGUAGCCGGCCUGAGAGGGUUACCGGCCACAUUGGGACUGAGAUACGGCCCAGACUCCUACGGGAGGCAGAAGUGGGGAAUAUUGCACAAUGGGCGGAAGCCUGAUGCAGCAACGACGCGUGCGGGAUGACGGCCUUCGGGUUGUAAACCGCUUUCGCCUGUGACGAAGCGUGAGUGACGGUAAUGGGUAAAGAAGCACCGGCUAACUACGUG
RNAcentral lists this ribosomal RNA (468 nucleotides) under uncultured bacterium. Its description in RNAcentral is "partial 16S ribosomal RNA". It matches the Rfam family "Bacterial small subunit ribosomal RNA", at positions 28 to 507 of the family's 1533-position model. The record is from RNAcentral.